AUUCUUAUAGUUUAUAACAAAAAAAAUAUUACACUGAAAAUGUAAAGAAAAUUGUAUUUUAAGAGUA
RNAcentral lists this transfer RNA (67 nucleotides) under Ixodes nuttallianus. RNAcentral describes it as "tRNA-Phe". The record is from RNAcentral. Lineage: Eukaryota; Metazoa; Arthropoda; Arachnida; Ixodida; Ixodidae.